Molecule: non-coding RNA, 742 nt
Organism: Zootermopsis nevadensis
Lineage: Eukaryota; Metazoa; Arthropoda; Insecta; Blattodea; Termopsidae
Source: RefSeq, a predicted model, not a curated record
CCGGAAAACCGGAGCGUGUGUGUUGAAUUUAUCCGGAAAUCGAGCCUCCGAUAAAUCUGCAGUCGCUUGAUUUUUUACCUGGAGGUUUACAGAAUGUCUACAAGUCGUAACGUGUGUGGGCAGAAACGAGGUUUCUAGAUUACCAUUUUUGGCGUGAUGGCUGACAUAAGAUCGUGGCCGAAUUCAUUCCAACAAACACUUGAGAAACUGCGUAUUUGAAACAAGAUGUGGAUGGUACUGCAAAAAAGAUACUGUAGUAAAGAGGAUAAACAAUAUGCGCAGUUCUUAAAGAAAAGAGUUGAAGAAAGUGGCACAGUGUAAAACAAGCGGCGCGAACGAAGUAUACGAUCCAUCUCUAUGCUAAUUCCACGUUGGAUUUUCUAUACGACCAGGACCUUCCUAAUGGUGUAUUCUAAAGUAACGUUGAAGAGCAAGGUGUCCCACUGCCAAAUCUCACAUAAACUGCCUGGAAACAAACAUGGACCUCAAUGGUUGGAAGCUGGUCACAGCUAUGGCAUGGCCUAUUCUGAUACAUUUUAAUCAUCCUAACUAAUUAAAUCAGUAUUCCAAAUUCAGUGAGAAUGCUGAGUAAUACUUCUUUGUUAACCAAAUCGUAAGCUCUUUUGAAGUCUAUAAAUAGCUGAUGUAUCGUACUCCUAUUUUUUAUCCAAUAACUGUUGAAUACAUAUCCUGGAUAUAUGCGAAUCAGAAUGAAAUUCAAAUGACAUUUUUGGUAAAAACU